ACUUUAAUAAAGGGAGAGCAGGAGAGUGGCGACGAAUUUCCACAUUCCGAACAAGCUUGUCGAAAGGGGAGUGUAGGGAAGGAGCAAGAAUGAGGCACUGGAAGACGGCUGUAGGCGCAUGAUGUUACAAGUUAUUGGAAGAAAUCCCUCCAACCUAGGUUGGGACAGAUGAAGGCGGCGCUUAUUGGUGUCCACCAAAACACCAGCAUGGUGUACCAGCUUUGGCUAGAUUAUGCUCGGAUAAAUACCUGGAGUGGGAUUGCUAGAUCACAUGGAAAACACAGAUCCUGGUGCCGAACAUGAGGACAAGACAGGCCGAAGGAGAAAGUGGAAGGAGGGGAUCUUCUCUCUCAGCCUCAUCCUCCUGGGCCUGGAUGCUGGAGAGUCAUGAGGUGCUUCAGAGUACUCUGGGUGAGGAGGGAAAGAUGGUGCCCACCACAUGGAGGCCAGCCUAGGUCUUGUAUGAAACCCGUGAGGAGAUUCUCUCUCCCUUGCUGGCUUUGAAAAAGCAAGUUGCCAUGUGAAGAGGGCCAUAUAGCACAGGAGCUGAAGGCGGCCUCCAACUGACAG
RNAcentral lists this non-coding RNA (570 nucleotides) under Pongo abelii (Sumatran orangutan). Lineage: Eukaryota; Metazoa; Chordata; Mammalia; Primates; Hominidae. The record is from RNAcentral.